AUGUGUUACAGCUCUUUUAGAAUUUGUCUAGCAGGUUUUCCCCCACCCCC
Small nuclear RNA from Equus caballus (horse), 50 nucleotides. Its record names the gene U7. It matches the Rfam family "U7 small nuclear RNA". From Rfam's summary of the family: Animal histone pre-mRNAs are spliced by a different mechanism than nuclear pre-mRNAs and self-splicing introns. This processing involves the U7 snRNP, which contains only one RNA species: U7. The record is from Ensembl. Lineage: Eukaryota; Metazoa; Chordata; Mammalia; Perissodactyla; Equidae.